AUUGAACGCUGGCGGCAGGCCUAACACAUGCAAGUCGAACGGUAACAGAAAGCAGCUUGCUGCUUUGCUGACGAGUGGCGGACGGGUGAGUAAUGUCUGGGAAACUGCCUGAUGGAGGGGGAUAACUACUGGAAACGGUAGCUAAUACCGCAUAACGUCGCAAGACCAAAGAGGGGGACCUUCGGGCCUCUUGCCAUCGGAUGUGCCCAGAUGGGAUUAGCUUGUUGGUGGGGUAACGGCUCACCAAGGCGACGAUCCCUAGCUGGUCUGAGAGGAUGACCAGCCACACUGGAACUGAGACACGGUCCAGACUCCUACGGGAGGCAGCAGUGGGGAAUAUUGCACAAUGGGCGCAAGCCUGAUGCAGCCAUGCCGCGUGUAUGAAGAAGGCCUUCGGGUUGUAAAGUGCUUUCAGCGGGGAGGAAGGGAGUAAAGUUAAUACCUUUGCUCAUUGACGUUACCCGCAGAAGAAGCACCGGCUAACUCCGUG
Molecule: ribosomal RNA, 490 nt
Filed under: uncultured bacterium
Lineage: Bacteria
Description: partial 16S ribosomal RNA
Rfam family: Bacterial small subunit ribosomal RNA
Source: RNAcentral